Molecule: non-coding RNA, 2957 nt
Organism: Ictidomys tridecemlineatus (thirteen-lined ground squirrel)
Lineage: Eukaryota; Metazoa; Chordata; Mammalia; Rodentia; Sciuridae
Source: RefSeq, a predicted model, not a curated record
CUGGGCGAAACGUGUCUUGGCUCGCUCAAUGUCAGCCCUUUUGACCGGGUCAAGACUUUCCAGACGCAGGCUUCCCGGGCUCCUUAGGUUCCAGCCUGGGUUGGGGGAGGGAGGACGUGACAACCAUAGCUGGUCCCUGGGGUGCCUCCCGACUCGGGGACAGCUCAGUCACUUGAAACGCCGAAAGAUUCCAGGCCUGGCAGAGCGUCUCGGGCGGAUCCUUCCUUCUUCGUCCUCUGUCUUCACCCACCCGGCUGGUCCGGAGCAGCCGCAGCGGGUGGUUUAACCAGGGAGCCUGAGAUCAACCCUGUUCCCAAGUACCUUGAGUGUGAUCAGCUGACGGAGGUGGCCAGUUGUCCUAAGUUCGGUACCAAUCCUUUCUCUGAAUAUCCAAGUGUUCUGAAUAUUUGUUGAAGAGACUAUCUUCAUUUUUUUAUGAUCCAUAAUAUGUCAGAUUGAUGAAAACUGAGGAUAAAAGUGAAGAAUUUUGAGUUUUUUACAUGGAAGGAGCAAGGAGGGGAAUAUACAUCCUGAUUCUCAGACCAGAGUUUGCAUGUGACUCGACCCUACCAGAUCAGUUUUGCAGGAAACUCAGGGCAGUUCCUCGAAGAUGUCAGUGCAGCAGCAGCUGGCAGAGAUGCAGUCCCAGCCUGAGAAGCAGUUCAGGGAAUUUGAUGGGCCAUCUGAGCCCUAGAGGAUUUGCACAGGUGCAAACAGAGCUGGGGGCUUUUGGAUCUGGAAGAGUUAGAAACACCCUGAGCUCUCCAUGGUUGGACACUCAGAGAAGUGGCUUUCAUCACAGGAGUGAGGGGGACAUCUUCAGGCCAUUACGAGGUAGUAUCUGUGGAUCAGCUGCAGCUAAAUCCUGAAAACAAAGAGUAAAUCCAACACUUGAAGAACUGCUAAAGAUUUAUGAUGAUUCAGAAGAGAAACUGUUCAUAAAAAGAGGAUGAGCCAACUUCCCUGCAAUGCGUUUAAUAACAAACCAAGGGUGCAGAGCUGCUUUCUGUAGCAUGGAGCAAAUUAAAUGGCAGAAACCACUGUGAAGCCCUGUGAAGCCCUUGGUGGGAUGUUUGAGCAUUUGGAAUUCAACUGUGUGCAAAUUUCAUCUUUUUGAGGAUUUUGUACAUUUCAUGUCUCUUUAGUCAGAACUCUUCCUUCUCCUGUUUUUGAUCAAUUUAUCCGGGGUCUCUUCUAGGGUACAUGGUUCCCUUAAUUUUCUCAGAACUUCCCUUAAAUCUUACUCAUUUUCUUAUGAAGGCUCUACCAGACUCAUUUACAACUUAUUUUUAUUUUAUUUAUGUUAACUUAUUUUUUUUUGGAUGAUUGCCCCAAAGAAUAUAGAAGCUGGAGAAUAUCCUCAAUAAGAAACUUUGAAGUCAAAUAUAUUAUGGGGUUGAUGGCUGUCUAUUGACAGGGCUUCCAUUCCCUUUUCCUUCCUUCCUGAGACCACCUUGGCCUGGUGUGUACCUCUUCUCCAUACCACCUGUUCUCUGGCACUGUUGAAUCAUGCUUCAUUCCAGGGGUGGGCUAGGGUUUGGCUUCCUAGAUCAGAGCAAGCCCACCCUUCCAGGAAACAUUUGGCUCUGAGGUGGUCAUGUGACUUUACUUUGUGGCAAAGAUUGCAAACCUUCUUUCUCGUUAUUUUUUCUUGUUUUUAUUAAUUUUAUCUCUUUAUUUUGCAGUUUUAACCAUUUCUCCAUCUAUGCUUUGACAAAUAAUAUACACCAUAAGGUUCAAUUUUAAGAAGAAAGGUAAGUAGUCAUUCUCUCUCUGUCUCUGGCUCAGUUUCUGCUGGUGGAUAUCUUAUCAUCCACCCAGAGAACACAGUUGAUGCCUAGAGAAAGGCAGAUUGAAAGAACCUCAGUGAAAUUCAGCCAGAGACCCGAUUGCUUGCUCUUCAUAGCUGCCUGACCUCUGGAUGUUCUAUGAGCAAAUCAAAUUCUUCAUUGUUUAAGUUAUUUGAGUGCUGAAAUCAUCCUAAUUGAUUGAGGGAUUAGAUUGUCAGCAUGGUAUAAAGUGGGUCUGGUGAAAGAGAAUUCACAUGGGGACCUCAGGCCUGGGCUGGGGUCUCAGUCUACCAGAUACUAAGUAUGUGUCUGUUCCACCUCUGGAGUUCAAUUCCCAAUAGAGGGCUGUGAUGAUCAUCGUGUGUCACAAAGCUAGGUAAGGAUCAGAUACAUUAAAGCUACAAAACAUGUGGCAUAGCAUGUUAUUAUUAUCAUCCUUUGUUAGCUCCAUCCACCCAUCUACUAUUAUGAAAAUAACAAUAGUGGAUGACUUCAUUGAGGAAUUGUAGAGUACUGUGCUGAGUGCUUGAAUGACUUUGUUCCUUUAAUCUACAUCAGAGUCCUAUAAAGUAUGCUAUUAUAUCCCCAUUUCACAGAUGAAGAAAAACAUUAGAAAACUAAUAAAUUUUUUUUUCAGUCUAAUACGGCUGUUAAGUGGUGGAGUUUUCUAAUAAAUAUUUGAGGAUAAUGUUAAUAGCCCAAGCGUGUGUUCAAAAAUUGUCCAUUCCACAAAAAUUGCCAGUAGCCUCAAAUUCUGUAUUAGAUUUGCUCUCUUUUUCAGUGUUUUAUGCUCACACCAUCAUUAUUUAGCUUCCUUUUAUUGCUCCCUAAGUCCUUAAGCCCAUGCAAACUUCCCCUCACAAUUAACUACUGUUCUGAAACUUUAUUGCACUAGGAAAAGAAAUGGUGUGUGCUGGUGUUGGUUUACACCACACCUCUAAAAGGGUGUGUUUGUGUGUGGGGGUUAUUAAUGGAAGUGGUGGGUGCUUCAAAUAUUUUGAAACUGUUAAAUAUAUGUACUUAUUGGGAUGAUGUCCGAGAUUGUGGCUUGCUGGUCACCAGUUGUAGGUGUAAGGGAUCUAAUGUUUUGCCCUGGAAUGCUGAAGGUAGGUGCAGAUUCAGUGCAAUUAGGAGGGUCUUCUAACCAUCUAGACCAAUAGUUCUUAA